GACUGCGGAGGAUCAUUACAGAGUUCAUGCCCCCCGGGGUAGAUCUCCCACCCUUGUGUAUCAUUAUAAAAUGUUGCUUUGGCGGGCCGCAAGCCUGGCUUGCCCGGAUUCGCGUCCGGUGUGCCCGCCAGAGGACCCUAAACUCUGAAUGUUAGUGUCGUCUGAGUAACUAUUAAAUAGUUAAAACUUUCAACAACGGAUCUCUUGGUUCUGGCAUCGAUGAAGAACGCAGCGAAAUGCGAUAAGUAAUGUGAAUUGCAGAAUUCAGUGAAUCAUCGAAUCUUUGAACGCACAUUGCGCCCCUUGGUAUUCCGGGGGGCAUGCCUGUUCGAGCGUCAUUAAUACCAAUCUAGCCCGGCUAGGUCUUGGGCGCCGCCAUCCGGCGGGCCUUAAAAUCAGUGGCGGUGCUCCUCAGCUCUACGCGUAGUAAUUUUCUCGCUAUAGGGCCUGUGGAGAUGCUUGCCAGCAACCCCAAAUUUUUCUAGGUUGACCUCGGAUCAGGUAGGGAUACCCGCUGAACUUAAGCAUAUCAAUAAGCGGAGGAA
This 545-nucleotide small RNA is filed under the name uncultured fungus. Its description in RNAcentral is "eukaryotic LSU rRNA". The stretch from base 185 to 338 matches the Rfam family "5.8S ribosomal RNA". The record is from RNAcentral. Lineage: Eukaryota; Fungi.